Caenorhabditis elegans is the source of this 72-nucleotide non-coding RNA. The record is from the annotation of a RefSeq genome assembly. Lineage: Eukaryota; Metazoa; Nematoda; Chromadorea; Rhabditida; Rhabditidae.
GUUUUGUGGCUCAGUCGGGUAAAGCGAUGACUGCCGCCCACACGUCCGGGGUUCGAACCCCGGCUGGGGCCA